AAAGGUUAGGGGGAAUCCAAACUUUUUUUACAUGAGGAUUUUUCAAAAAUAACCCAAAUGGCAGGAGAAAAAAGGUGUUAGAUCAUUUAGAAUAUUAAUUUUAUGGCUAAUUGGUAUUUACUUUUUUAUUAUUUAAAAUGUAUGUUUAGAAAUAUUAGGUAUUGUUUUACUUUUUUUUUAUUUAUAAUUUAAUUUAAUAUUAAGGAAAAAGACGAUUUCUAU
Molecule: long non-coding RNA, 222 nt
Filed under: Lathyrus oleraceus (garden pea)
Lineage: Eukaryota; Viridiplantae; Streptophyta; Magnoliopsida; Fabales; Fabaceae
Description: Pisum sativum (pea) long non-coding RNA (PSAT_LNC017018)
Source: RNAcentral